Long non-coding RNA from Cydia strobilella, 217 nucleotides. RefSeq lists it as uncharacterized. The transcript has 2 exons. NCBI's taxonomy places the organism in Eukaryota, Metazoa, Arthropoda, Insecta, Lepidoptera, Tortricidae. The record is from RefSeq and is a predicted model, not a curated record.
ACACACAGUGCGGCUGGCUGCCGCCCGGCACCGACCACGCCUGCCGCGACCAUAUCUUUAGCUACGUCAAGAAAACCCUGCUCGACACACAUAGCGCCGACUUGAAGCUUGAACAAGCGAGCAGCGAUGACGAAGUUAACUCAGAUGACGCCUCCGCCAGUGCCAAUGUUACGGAAAACGACGAGCCAUCCACCUCGAAUACAUAAUCUACAUUCAA